CUGUGUGCACUAACGGUGGUGGGCGCUGGGCUGAGCCUGCUGCCCGGCCCUCCCGGGUGCUAACCUGGCUUCGCUCUGGCCCCUGGGGCACGUGGCAGGUGCCUCCUGUAGCCCUUGGUGGCGGCUCCUUCCGAUCCACUUCCUUGUGCCACCUCCACUUGGGCAGGAUGCAGCCUCAGCGCCCGCCUUGAGACCAAUGGCCAGGGACGCGGUGGAGCUCCCCGUGGGAGGGAGGGGGCCAAGGCUGCUCCUGCCCCGGUCUUGGCCCUAACCGUGGCCCGCUGCCCCUGUGGCCCUGCAGCUUUACUGACCCCACCUCCCCGGGGGCGCCCUCUGCCCGGAGUCUAGGCGACUCUGGGGCUGCUGCAGUGCGGGUGCUGGCCACGCACGUCCCCAGGGAGGCUGUGAGGGGCUGCAAUGGGGUGGGUGGCCCCUCCCUUCCCAUAGCCGGCUCUGUGUUGGGCAGGUGCCUCCCAGCGAAUGUGGACAGGACCACCGGGGGCCAUGUGGCCUGAAGGGCUGAGGUGAAGCCAGGCGCCCCAUGAGAGGCCUCCGGCCCAAGCCCAGAGCCAAGUGAGGGACCCACAGCCAUGGCACUGCAGUGGCCGGGACAUCCUGCGAGGAGGCUCCACUGGCCAGGUGGGACUGGGCCCCGAGGAGCCGGACUCCGUGCCUUACCCAGCCGGGGGCCUCGGAGCUCCCGGUGGCGUCGUGGCCAGGACCCCACAGGCUGCAGCGCCAGGGGCUGGCGCCCCUUGUACCACCCGCACGCACACAGCUUGUGACCUGGUUUAUGACCUGGCAUCAGCCCACAACCCUGUCACCCAGCCCUGCUCCCUGGGUGCCUUGUGGCCCUUGGAAGGUGUUGCCUCCCCCCGCAGCCCUGCCCUCGCCAGCUCAGCCAGGGGAUUUUUUUUUUUAAUUUUGUGUUUUUGGAGACAGGCUUGGUAAGUUGCUCGGGCCGGCCUCCAGCUUGGGACCCUCCUGGCUCAGCCUCCUGUGAGGCCGCAGUUACAGGCAUGUGUGACCCUGCCCGGCCCUCAGCUGGCUUUUGAUUGAAAGAUGGCUCUUCUUGAGUCUGUGCUGUUCAGAGGCAGCUGUGUUGGGCCUGGGUGGUGGGCUAGCAGGCAGUGCCAUGGGCAGUGUGCCCAGCCCCUGAGGGCAGCCUUGAGGCCCUGCACCUGGACUGGCCACUUCAUCAACACCCCCCAAGACCAGCUGCCCAGGCCCCAGGUGGGCCACCGAGGUGGGAAGCAGCAGGGACUUUGACCAAUAAAGAGCAGCAUUGGGCCACCAUGACUGUUGUGUUUGGGGCAGAAGGGGU
RNAcentral lists this long non-coding RNA (1324 nucleotides) under Heterocephalus glaber (naked mole-rat). RNAcentral's name for it is "lncRNA (ENSHGLG00000037067.1)". Lineage: Eukaryota; Metazoa; Chordata; Mammalia; Rodentia; Bathyergidae. The record is from RNAcentral.